This 1606-nucleotide long non-coding RNA is filed under the name Orussus abietinus. RNAcentral describes it as "uncharacterized LOC105695593, transcript variant X3". The record is from RNAcentral. Lineage: Eukaryota; Metazoa; Arthropoda; Insecta; Hymenoptera; Orussidae.
CCUGAAUUCAAGAGAAUAGUGGAGAUGUGAAAUUCCAAUGAAUUCUUUGCACCAAGGCCUAGAUGCAGGCAGAAAAGUGACGAAGUCGAUAUUUUUAAAUUCCGGAUUAGCUGAUUUGGGAUCGGUCAUGGCAACCAGAGCAACUGACAUGGUCACUCGGACUGCGUAACAGCACAGAAAUCCCAACGUCGCCAGGAGGAUCUGCACGUGUCUGCAUCCUAUCAGAGCUGUGACAGGAAACCAUGGAUUUACAUAUAGUCGUAUAUAUCGUCUGGCGAAAGUACUGCAGCAUUUGGAAGGAAAAGGUCCAGGGAGAUCUCUCGAGUGCACAAUUUGCAUCGAUUGAACGUUGCACUCUGCAGCGAGCAUCUUAUGGAAUAUCACACUUCUCAAUGAACAUGCAUUAUUCUAUUUAUGAAUUUAUAAACACUUCUACACCCUCUUGAGCAAUAUCGCAGGCGAUAAGGUUUCCAAUGUACUUGUUUUAUCGAUGCACACGUUUAAUCACCGCCGAUCGAUCACGAGCACCUGAACUGACGAAAAGAAUUCCACGUUUCUGAGCCCAAAACAUCCAGAAGUAUACCAACACCACCGACUAUAAAUCCUUCACUUUCUCCAGAAAUAUUUCUCACAAAGGAAAAUGAAAUCCCGUAAACGUGUCGCUUGAAGGAACUAGGAGGGGCUCUUCAUCAUCUCCACCCUGGAUAUCCUCCUGGUCCCGAGUCCGACCGUCAUGGUGCCUCUCCGUGUACCUCGAGGCACUCCUUGGUAUACUCCUCGACGUGGUUCCACGUCCUAAUUUGAACUAACGAGGGAUUCGAUCGACUAAAGGUAUACGAUCAAGGGGCCGUGUUUUUAUACAUGGCCCUGCCGAUGAGUACAUAACGCGGCGCUCGUCCGCCUCUUCGCCGCAAAGUACACUUGGCCGUAUUAAGCUCCUCCGAGUUGGCGACGGCCGGUAUCGGGCGUGUGUAACCUCGGGUUUUACUCCUAUCGGAGGUAGUCAAGGACGUCCAGGAUAGGGGAGGAAAUAUUCCAAAACGUCUGGGGAUACUGGAACAGACCGGAAGAUACUAGCGAGACGGUCACCGCGAACUCAACGUAGUCGGGAAUCGCCGAGCCGCCGUCGCCUCGCCCUGGCCUCAGCAAUGUCGUUUUCCAUUUUACCAGGCGGGGCGUGGGAGAGUGGAAUACGGAUUGAAUAAAAAAAAAAGAGAAGAAAAUAUAAGGAACGCCCGUAUGUACCGAUAGCGCGCACACGCGUACGCGGAAUGUGUCCGCGUGUCUCCCGUGUACAUACGGUUCACGCAACGUGCGUAAUAAACGUACACGCGCGAUGUGGUCGCGCUCGAUCGACGUCUGCUCCUCUUAUAUCGGACCGGCUAGCGAUAGGCAAUUAAGUCGAGUCACCGACUAUCUUCACGAACGCCUCUUCUGGAUGGACUUGCCGAGGAAUCGGAUGGCUUUCUUAUCGGGCGACAAGAAUACCGCCCCGUUGUCACGUAAAGACGGCGGGCCAUCUCAUCGGGAGGCGAUAGCACUUACUCGACGUUGUUUUGCAUACUUAAACAGCCGUCAAUAAAUGCCGAAUGCAUCCAUGAAUGCA